UUGGCAAGUUGGAGUACCAGUAUUUAUGCUCUCUUUCUCCGUCUAAAGGUACCUCUUUUUUUGCAUCAUAAAUUUGUUUGGUGAAUUGAAAUCAUGUACUAAUCUAUUUAUUAGUCUUCUUGAGGAAAACGGUAUUCUUCUCGGUUGGCAAGUUAGAGUACCGGUAUUUCUGCUCUCUUUCUCCGUAAAGGUAUGUCAAUGUAUGACUCUUCUAAUCUUAAAUAUGAUGAAAUAUUUAGAAUGAUUAGGCUCUCAAUAAUUUGAGGUGGAACUCUGUAAUAGACGACACA
This 290-nucleotide long non-coding RNA is filed under the name Salvia miltiorrhiza (redroot sage). RNAcentral describes it as "long non-coding RNA (SMIL_LNC010498)". The record is from RNAcentral. Lineage: Eukaryota; Viridiplantae; Streptophyta; Magnoliopsida; Lamiales; Lamiaceae.